Molecule: long non-coding RNA, 3553 nt
Organism: Carya illinoinensis
Lineage: Eukaryota; Viridiplantae; Streptophyta; Magnoliopsida; Fagales; Juglandaceae
Exons: 2
Source: RefSeq, a predicted model, not a curated record
UAAUGUCUGCAAGGAUAUAAAAUAAAAGCGGAUAUAUUUGAUACUAUAUAUAUAUAUAUAUAUAUAUAUAUAUGUGUGUGAGGUCAAAUCUCGCAUUGACCAAAAGUAGUGAUUUUAGACAUGAAAAUUAAAUAGUCGGUGAAGUGAGAAGAGAACACGAACCAGUAUGUAUGUGGAGUUCUGUUGGUGCUCGACUGUCGGUGAGGUGGAUGGAUUUCUUCUCGACUGUCGGUAAGUGCUGCACUGGUUUUUUUCGGUGAAGGACCAAAUCGACUGAUUUACACCCGGCAGAUUGACGCACCAAAUCGACUGUUGCAAUUCUUUUUUUCGGUGAGGUAAGUGCUGAUGCUAAAAUCGCCAGUAAGUGCUGUAAUUUUGUCCGUGGCCGGCGCCGUGAGAAAGGGUAGCAGGUGGAUGCGAGAUUGGGGGCUAGGGUUCAGUUCGAUCUUCGCACUUCACUCUUCACAGUCAAAGACCAUUUUGAACAAGAGGGAGGAGUUCACGGGAACCACUCGCCGCCCAGCACCCUCGUCGCCCUCCCUCCACCAGCCCCACUACGGGACACACCCUCAACUCGUCGCCGUCCCUCUCAUCGUCCAGCACCCUCAACUCCUACCUCUGUUUCACUGCCCAUCUGCUCAGUAAUAAGAGGUAACUCCGCAAAAGUCUGCUUGGUUGCUGUGAUAAUGUAGGAGAAGGAAAAGAAAACCUAUUUACAGUCAGUAGGAUCUUCUAGGGUUUUAUCAAUUUUUUUGUUUAUUUACUUUCAGGCUGUACUAUUUGUUGAAUCUAUAGUGUUUAGUUCUUUAAGUCAAAAAAAAAAAAAUUAGAAUUUUGUACCAAUUUGGGAGGAUGACUAGGCCUUCUUUUUUUGCCAUAAACAAUACGAUUUUGUUGAAAAGAUAAAAAGGCAUAGCUAGUACACAACACAAGAACAAGAUACAUACAAAAGAAAGAAGGUAAAAAAAAACUAAGAUCUAAACAAAUACCUAAAAGGAGGAAGAAGCAAGACUCCCUAAAGGCACAAAGUCUGAAGCUGUAAUGCAAAUUUAGCAACAAGAGGUAACUCCAACAAUAAUGCAUUUCUACUUUGUUCUUUUUAAGUUCUUUGUACUGAGAGAGGUAAAGUUUGUGGCAGAUUUUUUCUUUCGGAGAUGGGCAUUGGGCUUAGGGCAUGAAAAUGUUAGUGAGUUGCAGAAAAUGCUUUCUUGAAGUUAAUGGUUGCUGGUGGUGAUCUUCGUUGGUAUGAAGUCUCCGUUAGCACAUUAUUUGUAAGUUGUUGAUGACUUGAGUGUUUGGGUAACAAUUGGAUGAGUACUAGAUAUUGGCAGUGCAACUAGAAAUCCUAAACAACUAUCUCGUCUGAGUGCAUUUCAAACCACUGAUCAAGUGCAUUUCUUCUUUCCAAAACCCACAUGGUGGACAGAAAUUAACAAAUAAAAGACUUUAGCGCUGCUUUGUGGCUAGCUUUUAUUCUAUCUCCAUUCAAUGAUAAGUAAGUAAAUUCAUGGAUAAAAAUAAUAUAUGAUACAAAUGCAUAAGUUUGAGGUUGGAAUUCCAACUGUACAAGCUUUUCCCCUAUCAACAACCAACAGGUCAAAGCUUUCCAAACUCAACUAACUCCCACUCUGUUUUUUUUUCCACCAUAAAAAUAAUAAAUAAAAUAGAAGGAGAAAGUGGAACUUACAAAUUCAGUGACCACCAUCACUUUUUUUUUUCCUUCUGAGCACUAAAAUCACAUACAAAAAAGUAUAUAAAGAAACCUUGUCUGCACUAAUAUCUUGACAACUAACAAAUGAAUAGUUAUUAAAUAUAUGAUCAACACACAUUAAAAGCAGCUUUAUAUUUCAACCAUCAAAUCUGGAGUCCAAUCCCAGCAAAAUCUCUGAUGGUAAACCCAACAGCUUCAAACUUCCCCCUCUCAUUGCUCUCUCUGAAUUUCAAGUAGUCCAAAGAGACAAAUGGCUUGUAAAGCCUCAUAUUUCCUUCUCCAAUCACUUCAUUUGGUGCCGUGAUCACUUUUUCAUCCUCAAAGCACCAAAAGAAAGCUAGAGAAAAGUGGUUUGUUGGCUGGUAUGUGGUGGAUUAAUGUUUGUCUCAUUUGAGUAAGUUGCAUAGUGUAAGAUAUUGUACAAUGCUAUAUAAGAUUUGAGUAGGUUGCAAAUUUAUGGAUUAAUGUUUGUCUCGUUUGUCUUAGAUUAAUAGCUCUAAAAAGCCAAAAAGAAUGUUUCAAGGGUGAAGAAGGUUGCUGUGUGAAAUGAUGAAAUUGCCUUUCAACAAUGAAAAACCAGAAAGCUUAUGGUGGAAUUGUCCAAGAAAGGAAAAGGAAUGAAGGAAACUAAUAUGAGAUUUCUGAUCAAAGAAGUAAAAGAUCUAGAAAGACAUGAGAUUUGAGGCGGGAGAUCGUGAUUGAUUGAUUAAAAGACCACAAAGACUACCCAAAAGCUAGAGAAAGGAAAAGAUAGUUAAAAAGGUUUGGAAUAAGGAAAUCUUACCAAAUAGGCAAAAAAAAAACACAGGAUUCUAUGCUUGAAUUGAUAUGGGUUAUGAUAUGGAUUAUGCUUGAAUUGUUUGCCGUGCUUUUGAAUCUAACGCGGAUGUAUAAUUACAGCAUCCUUUUAAAUUUUUUAACAAAUUUUUUCAAAAAGUCCAUUUUUUUUUCCCUAAGAACCUGCCUGAAUGCAGCACCUAUGAUGCCUUCUACCCGCCAUCAACAAAGCUUUGCAGAGCUAGUUGUGGAUAUUGAUUACCCCAUUGGUAAUUAGGAAAUUGCUACUGUGGAUGAAUAUCUAAGCUGCAGCUUGAAUUUUCUGGAGCUUUUCAAUUCCAUUGGUUCCUCUUGCAUAUCUUGGCCAAGCUCGGCUUCUACUGGCUCAUGCUUUGAGCCUUUUGGAGAAUUUACCGUCUAUCGCAAUAGAGCAUCUAAAACCAAUUCAACCAAGAAGUCUCGACUAGGAUCUCGGGAAAGGUGAAACUAAGGAAGAUGGUAAAGAAAAGUUCUACUUUGGCAAGGAAUAGAUUAUUCAUGAAUCUUUAAUCGCCAUGAAUAGCAUAGGAUUCUGGGUAUGUGGGAUUGUGCUGUCUGGUUUAUGAAUUGAUGUAAAGCCAUACUUGGAGAUGAGAAAAUCGGUUGGUGGGUUGGUUUUUUCUUCACUUGUUGAAUUGGAUUCAAGUCUAUAUGAGAUUAUUAUGGAUAAAGGGGCAAUCUUAAAGGAGAUAAAGGAACUGAACGAUGUAGUGGCUUGCCUUCUUGCUGCCUUGGUCAUUAGGAAACACAGCGAAGCAGCUGAAGAAUUGCAAGGAAAGUUGGAGAUAUCAAUCAAACUAUUGGAGGAAUUGCAGAAGGAGGCGGAUCGCCUUCGAGACUGGAAGCAUUAGCAACUUUUGUAAUAUUUUGUUUGUAAAGUUUGAACGCGUGUUGAUUCUGUGAUAUCCGCUCCAAUUAUGUGUAUAUUUUUGCUUUUCUUUCUAAGCAACAAACGCUUGGUUCGGGGAGCGCGCAGAUAAUUGAAGGAAAUAAAAAUUAGAAUUGAUCGACACUGAUCAACUGCUA